This is a long non-coding RNA of Gambusia affinis (western mosquitofish), 4691 nucleotides long. RefSeq lists it as uncharacterized. The transcript is spliced from 2 exons. The record is from RefSeq and is a predicted model, not a curated record. Lineage: Eukaryota; Metazoa; Chordata; Actinopteri; Cyprinodontiformes; Poeciliidae.
UUUAAUAUUUCAAACUUAGAAAGUCUGCUUUUUUUGUCACAAGAACACUGCCAAGUUGUGAUGCUUCCUCAACUAAAUCUACAAACAUAAUAAAAACUCAAUUAAACAUUCAAUGGCAAAAGGAAUUUUUUUUAAAAUAAAGAUUUACAUGAAGCUGGAAGCUAGUUCAAGAGUAAAAAAAAAAAAAAAUUAACUUGAAUAUUUCAAACUUGUUCCUUAUUUUGAACAAAGUUUAAAACUUACUUCAUUGUGCAUCACUUUGCUUGAUUGCUUAGCUUUAAAAUCAGCUUAAAUGCUGGGUGUAACAAAUGUAUCACCCAACCAGUGAUAUGGACAGACUGAUCAAAGAUCUCAUGCUGUAGUUAUUAAGGCCAGAAGGUACGGCACAACCGCCAACACGAAGAGACAAUCUGUUAUACUGCACUAUGCUCAUCAGUAAAAGAAUAAAGUUUCAAGAGACAGGAUGACUCCACUUUGACAGGGACAUGACACAUCACCUAGAAUUUGAUCCGAGUUGAAGUAUCAACUCACCAAGAGGAGCAUAAUGUUCAAGAGUUCAGACUGAGCUGCAGAUGAAUGGGAGUCAUUUGACCUCUGAUCUCCAGUCAUUCUUGCCUUCAUGUUUAAGGCUUUUGUUCUCGCAGUGCACACGCCAACAAUGAACUUUAUUGUUCAAAAUCACUUUGAUUGUGGAUUUGAAGACAUCUGACUGUCCAGUGCCCAACAAAGAACUUCAGUAUAAUCAGAAAUGCAUGAUGUUGUUGCUCAUUUCACCAAACCCGAUUAUUGUUUAGACCCCAAUCAUGAAUUCAUUUUUGUAACUGAAUGGGCUGAACCAGAAUUGAAUCAGCAUAUGCAGCAAACAGGUUAUUUUUUCAAAAGUCCAAAAAAUUUCUUUAGAGAAAGUGCCAUACAUUGGGUUGUGUGAAGCAGAGUAAAGCAAUGUUGCUCCUCCAUAACUUUUUGCUGUAUGUGGCCAGUCAACUGGCUGAAAUAAGGCUAAUUAAUAUCGGGGGUUUUUUUCUUGCUUAAUAGAUAGACAAAUUUUGUUGUGUCGAAAUAAAACUGAACUAUCCUGGAAUGUAGGCUAAUUAAUUGGACUGUUAUGCAUAAAUACUAUUAAAUGGGCUGCAUCAUAUUAAAGUAUGGAAUUGUAGUAUCGCUGAAAAUGCCAUCUUUUAAUACAAAUAACCAACACUUUCUUAAGCAUCACACUGCGUUUUAGUAUUAAAAAUAUACAUCAGAUGUGAGCUUGAAGGACUGGCCAAAUAUGGAUAUGAAACUAUGAACAACAUUUAUAUAAUAUAUGCUACCAAAUAUGGCACUCAAGUGUGAUUGUGACAGCUCUAGUCCUUUUGAAUUAUGCUACCAGUUUAAAUGCUACAGUUCAUAACCUGCUUGCAAGAUAUCUAGUAUGUAGCUGAUUGUAUGCUGGCAACCCAUGCUAAUUUGAAAGCUUUGCUACUUUAAGAGUAAAAUGGGAAAAGCUUAGCAAAGAUAUUCUGCACAUAAAGCACUUGAAAACUAGUGCAACAUUUUUGAGCUUAGCUCAAGUCCAUGUAUCAACAGUAAAACUGCAAAAAAAAAAUAAAUAAAUAAAUAAAUAAAUAAAUAAAUAAAUAACAUUUCAUCAACCCAUGCCUUAAUGUUAUGUUUUAUAGAUGAAUAGUUGGUGUGGUGCCAACUCUUCAACUCUCUAUAUUAAAGAGAAAAAUAGAUUUUGAUUACUUUCUACAAUAUCUAGACUUAGAAUUUGGGUAAAAUGCGUCAUAUCUUCAACUUGACAUCAUAAAUUUCAAGUUAAGAGCUUAUCUGAUCUCUGGUCCUGGUCUUGAAGCAGAGACAAACUGUUGAAAUCCCCUUAGUAAAAAAAUGCGGCAGCCUUAACAAUAACCGCUAUGUUGGUUGGAUUACUGUUUUUGCUCAAGCCAAAUAUUUGCAUAAGUUAUAAAUAUGCAGCUUCUGGAUUGGACAAAUACAUUACAAGGAAACCCCUGCAAAUAUUUAUCCUAAAAGACAUUUGGGUUUCCAAAGAUGUGACCAUAAGCUGGAGUUUGAGCUGCAAUGUCUGCAAAACAAGCCUUGAAAGUGCAAAAUAAAUUAGAAGUCACAGUAAUUACUGUUUGCCCCACACAGAAACAGCAACACUAAACACUGAGCACAUGCAUGCCUUAAAACAUUUGAACAUUUUACUAAAAGGCACCUUUGUUAACUGGAAUAAGCAGGUAUAUUCAGAGCUCUCUGCAUGAUUAUAUAAACAAAACAGCUGCUAGUGUGAGUCAGUGUUUAAAUAGAAGGCUUGAAGUCUACUUCUAUAAAGCAGCUCCAAAACAUUGACAUUCAGCUUUGUCUCUUCUUCUACACACCACAGCUAAAAGUUGUGAAAACUUAGCCCUAUCUAUUCAUCUCAGCACUAGUUCUCAGUAUUGGACGCCUUUGACGCCAAACUCAUAGAUUACUUCUGUUUAACUAUUAACUCGUGCGUCAGCUGACUUCCCAGAAACUGGUGCUUUUUUUAAACAGAAGGGCGUGCUGUUGCUACAGGGAAGCAGACUUGCUCACAACCAAUACCCACGCUCAAAAGGCGGUUCCUCCUCAGUAUCAGGUUUCAGUUCUGAGAAAGAAGCUGUUGAACAUAACAUUUGAGCAAUAGAAUGGUGAAAUGGAGUCAUUGGUUUUCAGACCUAACAGAGUAACUCUAGUUCCUGCAGAUAUUUUCUCAUGCAUCAGGACACAUUUCCCUAGUAAAGCAAACAAAAAGUCAAAACUACUAAAAGUGUUUAAAAAUUCUCAAAGAAACUAAACUGGUACUCAUAAAGGCCAAUUUAGUAUUGGGCUUCUUUAUCUGGGUAGAUAUCUACCCAUGCAGAGAGCAGUUUUAAAACCACUCCUUUAAGACCAUCCCAUGAAAGGAAUGCAUUUACCUGCUUUAAAGCUUUCUGUUUUGCAGCUGCACCUCUCUCAUAGUUCAGAAGCUGCAAAGUUAGAUUCAAUAAGUCUGGUAAACUACAACAGAUGUACACUUUUAAAGCAAGCAACUAACAUUUAGAACAGAAACGGUACAAAAAAUAUCCUUGAUUAUGCUGAUUUGCUUAAAGAGGUUUUGUUAAACAAGGAAGCGGUUCAGAUGUGUUGCUUCCCAGAAUAUUUUCAAUUAGUUUGAGUUCAGGUUUGGAAACUAAAGAGUUAAUCUGACCAAACCAGUUUGAGUUUCGUCUUCUUUCACCAUGAGUCACUAUAGCAGAAUUCUCUUCUGAAAUUGAGAGAACAUCUAGAUAAAAACCUCUCAUCUAUUUUUUUUUUUUACUUCUGUAAGAAUUUCACAGGAGAAAUUUCAUUUACAAACAAGCAAAAGAGAAAAAAAACAAAGUUAAAGCCUGGAUAACUUCCUGUUCUUGUAUGGCACUCCCUGCUUUCUGUACAACCAAUCCUCUUGGUAAAUGCUGCAAACAGCAAUUUGAAUUUGCCUCAGCUUUUAUUUCCCCCGAGCUAAAUGGCCUAUUCUUCAAUGAGCCAUGUACAGGUAACUAAGAAUGUAACCAACAUCAUUAUUCACAGGAGUAAACCAGAGAAGGCCAGCUGUGAAUCAUCUCCAUGGAGAAUCUCCCCUUCUUAUCCUCCACAUGUUUGUUCUGUAACCGUAGACUACAGCACGAUCUGAAAACAAGGUGAAGUCCCAAAUCAUCACCAUGGUUUUCCCUGCUAGAGGCUUGAUGUGGUGGAAACAGAAUAUUUAUGGCAUCAAGAGGGCCAGAGAAUUGAUACGAAGAAUGUCAACCCUUGGUUGGAACCAAUAAAACAUGUUUAAGUCAUCAGUUUCUAGGUAGCUGAAGCCUGUCUGAAUCAGGAUGUGGAUGUUAUGCAACUCUGAAGAUGUUUUGAACCCCUUUGACCCUAGUUCAGCACUUUGAGCUUUUGCACCAGCUUUGCAUAGAAAACUCUGCAACUUGCAAAACUGCAGAUGCAACCCUGAGCUCAGUCAAAUAGGAGGUGCUCAAAUUUCGAGGAAACUGCAGCAAGCACUAUAUUGGUUGUGGUGUGAAUAAACAGAGGUUAUGCGUUAACAAGUGUCAGACAUUUACAGCACAUAUCCUAUUGGUUGUUUAAUGUGAUUAAGCAAGACUCCCUGUUCAGAAAGACAUUAUCAAAAGGUCAAACAGUUUAAUUUGUUUUAUUGAGCUUAAAUCUGAAUGUAGCCAUUGGUGUCUCCAGACAGAGUAAUUUGAACAAUGACAUACUAUGUGCAAAUCAAUCCCUCUACCCCCAACGUUUGUGAAAUAUUCAGAUACUUUCCAAAUGCUCACCAAAGUUUUCAAGGAAUGGGUGUCAUGCCUGCAAAAUGUUAUGGAUAAAUGGCUAGUUUCUACUGGUUUGGCCUGUGGCUUCAUUAAAAAUGUUUAAUUCUAGUUGUAAACAGAUUGCCCCACCCUGACCCCCCAAAAAAGAUUUAAAUUAAAAAUGAGCUAAACAGUAGCAUAAUCAUUGAUUUUACAUACAAUAUAUUUUCAUUAGAAAAAUAAAUUUAUUCAUAUUUAAAUAAGUUUCCUUGCAAAACAAAUACAACUGAUGGCAAAAACGUAUUUAGAAACAAAAACAUGAAUCCUCAAAUGGUGAAAGAUAUUCAAAAUUAAACUUCCAUUUUAGAAUCCAAAACAGAAAGUGGAGACAGGAAAGUCCCUUAAGGUCUCAGC